Molecule: long non-coding RNA, 746 nt
Organism: Cyprinus carpio carpio
Lineage: Eukaryota; Metazoa; Chordata; Actinopteri; Cypriniformes; Cyprinidae
Source: Ensembl
GGAAUAUAAAUUAAAUAUAAUUUUUUAAUUUUUGUUUUUACAUUAUUUAUAUUGCUCUAAACAAUGUAAAAACUAUUUUUUUCCUAAAAAAUUUUUUUCCUCAGGUCUUAAGAGGUUAAAACUACGCUUACCCUUUCAAUUCACAUUUGCUAUACCCCCACUCUCCAAGUCAAGAUGUCUUUGGCCACCAAACAACACUCUAUUCUUUAACUAAAUGUGUCAGACCUUUGAUGAGUCAUAAGCCAACAUCAAAGUUCCAUAUAUGUCAUGCACCUACCUUUUAUCUAACUUUUCGACCCACAGCAUCAUCUUGUUCACUUGAGACUUCAAAAUUGUUACAAAGCCAACCCCUGCCCACUCCGACAACUCCUCCCAAGUCUUUGACUCUGACUCUUCCCUUUAUAAUCCCCACUACAUCUAUAUGUUAAAAGCUACAUUCCUCACCACUGAACUACUGUCUUAAACUCUCCUGCCCAUACAUCAGUUCCAAACAAAUUGCAUCUAUGGAUCUACAAGGUAAUGGCACAUAUCAAUUCCACAUUUAAUAACCUUUGUAACAUUAUAUACUGUUUCCAAAAUAGUUAACACUCUAUUUUUGUCUCUAUAGGACACACAUCCAACGCAAAUUUAACAACUACUAUCUCCAAAAGAUCCUUUAUCAUACCCCAAGGACUGCACAUCUGCUUCCUCACAGACUCAAUAUGUCGAGAUAUUAAAGACUACAUGCCAAAUGCACAAUGCUGGGU